Long non-coding RNA from Juglans microcarpa x Juglans regia, 302 nucleotides. RefSeq lists it as uncharacterized. NCBI's taxonomy places the organism in Eukaryota, Viridiplantae, Streptophyta, Magnoliopsida, Fagales, Juglandaceae. The record is from RefSeq and is a predicted model, not a curated record. The transcript is spliced from 2 exons.
UGGCUUCCAUCGCGAAGGUUGGUGGUUAUCUCGGGUUCACAUCGGCAGCAACUAGUUCGUGGUGGGUUUCCAGGUGCCUUGUGACUUGGUGUGGAGAAUACUAAAAAAAAAAAAAAAGAGGUAGGGAGCACUGAUCUACAAGGUGAAGUGUAUUCCUGGCAUCGAAGGAGCGCAUUGGAAAGGAUGGUUACGUGCAUGGGGGCAGCGGUUACCAUGCAGUUGCCGUGCUUGAUGUGGGUAGCUUAGCUUCUUGUACAUGGGCAGGAAUGGAUGAGUGAUAAGAGAAACGGUUGGGAGAAAAA